CUCUUCAGUUGGGGUGUAGGUUUUUGCCAUCUUACUUCACAGGAGUCAUUCUGCGGCACAGUCUUGGCAUGUAGUUUGUCCUACUGAAUCAACAGGCAGAGUCAUGACUUUGAAAGCUCAGCAGACCCCAACACGUGUCAUUCCUUAUGCCUUUGAUUUGCAGAGUUGUGUUCAGAUGAGCCUGGGGACCACGAAAUAAAGGUGGAGAUGGUAUGUCAGGCAGAUGUGCACCUUGAGCCACACCCUCUUUGCUCUGCAGCCUGGCAGAAGAAGGAGGAGCCAUGGCCUGGCAAGCUGAAGGAGGAGAGGAACCGUGCGAAGGCUGGCAGACACCACUGCUGCAGGCACGGGAGGAGCCCUCGCGAAGGUGCCAGCUUGGGCAUUUGAUGAUCUGGUCUUGGGGGAGCUUUUUGACUUGGCCUUGUACAUCAUUUGCGAGAGCAACUGUUCUAAUGACCCCGCUGAGAGAGGUUUGUGUUAUUUUUUCUUUUUCAUAUGUGAAUGUAGCAAUGUAGCAAGCAGAAUAGCCAUAAACCAGGCUUGACAGUCCCAUUCUGUA
Long non-coding RNA from Athene cunicularia (burrowing owl), 559 nucleotides. RefSeq lists it as uncharacterized. The transcript is spliced from 2 exons. NCBI's taxonomy places the organism in Eukaryota, Metazoa, Chordata, Aves, Strigiformes, Strigidae. The record is from RefSeq and is a predicted model, not a curated record.